Ailuropoda melanoleuca (giant panda) is the source of this 111-nucleotide small nuclear RNA. The record is from Ensembl. Lineage: Eukaryota; Metazoa; Chordata; Mammalia; Carnivora; Ursidae.
GUCCCAAAUCAUUAAACAAGCACACGGACUAAAAUCGGGAGGAUACAGAGAAGAUUAGCAUGGCCCCUGGGCAAGGAUGACACACUAAAUUAUCAAACAAAACAAGGUACU